This 491-nucleotide long non-coding RNA is filed under the name Panax ginseng (ginseng). RNAcentral describes it as "long non-coding RNA (PGIN_LNC003564)". The record is from RNAcentral. Lineage: Eukaryota; Viridiplantae; Streptophyta; Magnoliopsida; Apiales; Araliaceae.
GACAACCCGAGAAAUUAGAAAAUUAUUAAAAUCUUAAAUGAUUGGUUUAAGGUCAAAUAAUAGACCUAGACAGAAAAUAAGUGAAUGUGUUUGAUGUUUUCAGAAAGGAAUUUUGAGCAUUUAAAAUUUCUUUUAGUGAAUUAUUCAGGAUUAAGGGUAUAUGUGUACAUGUUCAAGAUUACGGUAUCAUGUGUACAGAAUGUGGUUAAGGGUCAAGUGUUGACCAGAUAAAUUAUAUCCGUGUCAAACCCUAAUAGUAUAUAUUAAGAACGUCCACGUUCAGUUAUAAAAUUAUUAUGUUUUAUAAGAAACCCUAGAAAUCAGUUCUGGAAACCCUAAUUUCAGUUCCGGGAAUCCGAAACCCUAAUUCGAUAUUUGAAAACCCUAAUCCGAGAAAUUAUCGGAUAAGUAUAAUGCUUAAGUGCUAUUAAUUAUAAUAUUAAUUAGGGUAAAGCUUAAUUAAUUAGCAAACCAUAAUUUCAGAAUUUUUG